AGUGAGCGGGAUGAGCUCAAAUUUAAAAUCUGGCUGGUUUACUAGUCCGAAUUGUAGUUUAAAGAAGCGUUUUCGGUGGCAGCCUGGGUAUAAAUCCUUUGGAACAGGGUAUCAUAGAGGGUGAGAAUCCCGUCUUUGACUCAGUGCAUGCUACUAUGUGAUACGUUUUCAAAGAGUCGAGUUGUUUGGGAAUGCAGCUCAAAAUGGGUGGUAAAUUUCAUCUAAGGCUAAAUAUUGGCGAGAGACCGAUAGCGAACAAGUACCGUGAGGGAAAGAUGAAAAGAACUUUGAAAAGAGAGUUAAACAGUGCGUGAAAUUGUUGAAAGGGAAACGCUUGACACCAGUCAUGCGAGCGGAAAAUCAGUCUUUUGCAGUGGGGAGUUGUGUGGGUUCGGACCGCAAGGCCGGCCUGUGCUGCAUCUCUGCUGUAAGUGAUGCACUUUUUCGUUUGCAGGCCAACAUCAGUUUCUUCUGCUGGACAAAACUCUUGAGAAGGUAGCAGCUUUGGCUGUGUUAUAGCUCUUGAGCGAUACAGUGGAGGGGACUGAGGUUUUCGCAGCGCGUGCUCUCGGGCAAGGCUGAUUGGGUGCUAUGGGAUCGUUCGGUGUACAAUGCAUGCAUUUUGCGCCGUGUCUUUUCUAUACUCGCUCAACUCGGCUCUUCCGCGCUUAGGA
This 674-nucleotide ribosomal RNA is filed under the name Mortierella alpina. RNAcentral's name for it is "eukaryotic LSU rRNA". It matches the Rfam family "Eukaryotic large subunit ribosomal RNA", at positions 92 to 612 of the family's 3401-position model. The record is from RNAcentral. Lineage: Eukaryota; Fungi; Mortierellomycota; Mortierellomycetes; Mortierellales; Mortierellaceae.